AUGCAACAAACAAAUAAAUCACACGGCGGCAACAAGAAACAUAGAAGGCGUCUAGAGCGUCGGUCUCGGGGUGUUACAGAUGCUUAUGUGAAAAAGCUUCGACCUGAUAAGCUCGAAUCCAAAUCGGAGAAAUGCGUCUUCAUAGGAUACCCAAAGGAGACUGUUGGGUACACCUUCUAUCACAGAUCCGAAGGCAAGAUAUUCGUUGCUAAGAAUGGAUCCUUUCUAGAGAAGGAGUUUCUCUCGAAAGAAGUGAGUGGGAGGAAAGUAGAACUUGAUGAGGUAAUUGUACCUUCUCCUGAAUUGGAAAGUAGUUCAUCACAUAAAUCAGUUCUAGUGAUGCCUACACCAAUUAGUGAGGAAGUUAAUAAUGAUGAUCAUGAAACUUCGGAUCAAGUUACUACUGAACCUAGUAGGUCAACCAGAGUACGUUCCACACCAGAGUGGUGCGGCAAUCCUGUUCUGGAAGUCAUGUUACUAGACCAUGACGAACCUACGAACUAUGAGGAAGCGAUGAUGAGCCCAGAUUCCGUGAAAUGGCUUGAGGCCAUGAAAUCUGAGAUGGCAUCCAUGUAUGAGAACAAAGUGUGGACUUUGGUUGACUUGCCCGAUGAUCGGCAAGCCAUAAGAGAAUAA
RNAcentral lists this ribosomal RNA (636 nucleotides) under Triticum aestivum (bread wheat). Its description in RNAcentral is "partial small subunit ribosomal RNA". The record is from RNAcentral. Lineage: Eukaryota; Viridiplantae; Streptophyta; Magnoliopsida; Poales; Poaceae.